RNAcentral lists this ribosomal RNA (497 nucleotides) under uncultured bacterium. RNAcentral describes it as "partial 16S ribosomal RNA". The stretch from base 62 to 497 matches the Rfam family "Bacterial small subunit ribosomal RNA", at positions 39 to 507 of the family's 1533-position model. The record is from RNAcentral.
GGGGGGGGGGGGGGGGGGGGCGGGGGGGGGGGGGGGGGGGGGGGGGGGGGGGGGGGGGGGGGGGGGGGGUUGGGGGCGGGGGGGUGAGUAGCACGUGGGUGGCGGAGCUGUAGGGCUGGGGUCACUUCGGGGCCCCGGAGCUAGUACCGGAUAAUGUUGUGCACCGCAUGGUUCAGCGGUGGGCGACGGUCUUGCUGUCACUUCUAGGUGGAUCCGCGCUGCAUUAGCUAGUUGGUAAGGUAACGGCUUACCAAGGCAACGAUGCAUAGCCGACCUGAGCGGGUGAUCGGCCAACCGGGAACUGAGACACGGACCAGACUACUACGGGAGGCAGCAGUAGGGAAUCUUCCGCAAUGGGCGAAAGCCUGACGGAGCAACGCCGCGGGAGUGAUGAAGGUCUUCGGAUCGUAAAACUCUGUUAUUAGGGAAGAACAUAUGUGUAAGUAACUGUGCACAUCUUGACGGUACCUAAGCAGAAAGCCACGGCUAACUACGUG